UUAAAUUGAAGAGUUUGAUCAUGGCUCAGAUUGAACGCUGGCGGCAGGCCUAACACAUGCAAGUCGAACGGUAACAGGAAGCAGCUUGCUGCUUUGCUGACGAGUGGCGGACGGGUGAGUAAUGUCUGGGAAACUGCCUGAUGGAGGGGGAUAACUACUGGAAACGGUGGCUAAUACCGCAUAACGUCGCAAGACCAAAGAGGGGGACCUUCGGGCCUCUUGCCAUCAGAUGUGCCCAGAUGGGAUUAGCUUGUUGGUGAGGUAACGGCUCACCAAGGCGACGAUCCCUAGCUGGUCUGAGAGGAUGACCAGCCACACUGGAACUGAGACACGGUCCAGACUCCUACGGGAGGCAGCAGUGGGGAAUAUUGCACAAUGGGCGCAAGCCUGAUGCAGCCAUGCCGCGUGUAUGAAGAAGGCCUUCGGGUUGUAAAGUACUUUCAGCGGGGAGGAAGGUGUUGUGGUUAAUAACCGCAGCAAUUGACGUUACCCGCAGAAGAAGCACCGGCUAACUCCGUGCCAGCAGCCGCGGUAAUACGGAGGGUGCAAGCGUUAAUCGGAAUUACUGGGCGUAAAGCGCACGCAGGCGGUCUGUCAAGUCGGAUGUGAAAUCCCCGGGCUCAACCUGGGAACUGCAUUCGAAACUGGCAGGCUUGAGUCUUGUAGAGGGGGGUAGAAUUCCAGGUGUAGCGGUGAAAUGCGUAGAGAUCUGGAGGAAUACCGGUGGCGAAGGCGGCCCCCUGGACAAAGACUGACGCUCAGGUGCGAAAGCGUGGGGAGCAAACAGGAUUAGAUACCCUGGUAGUCCACGCCGUAAACGAUGUCUACUUGGAGGUUGUGCCCUUGAGGCGUGGCUUCCGGAGCUAACGCGUUAAGUAGACCGCCUGGGGAGUACGGCCGCAAGGUUAAAACUCAAAUGAAUUGACGGGGGCCCGCACAAGCGGUGGAGCAUGUGGUUUAAUUCGAUGCAACGCGAAGAACCUUACCUGGUCUUGACAUCCACGGAAGUUUUCAGAGAUGGAUUGGUGCCUUCGGGAACCGUGAGACAGGUGCUGCAUGGCUGUCGUCAGCUCGUGUUGUGAAAUGUUGGGUUAAGUCCCGCAACGAGCGCAACCCUUAUCCUUUGUUGCCAGCGGUCCGGCCGGGAACUCAAAGGAGACUGCCAGUGAUAAACUGGAGGAAGGUGGGGAUGACGUCAAGUCAUCAUGGCCCUUACGACCAGGGCUACACACGUGCUACAAUGGCGCAUACAAAGAGAAGCGACCUCGCGAGAGCAAGCGGACCUCAUAAAGUGCGUCGUAGUCCGGAUUGGAGUCUGCAACUCGACUCCAUGAAGUCGGAAUCGCUAGUAAUCGUGGAUCAGAAUGCCACGGUGAAUACGUUCCCGGGCCUUGUACACACCGCCCGUCACACCAUGGGAGUGGGUUGCAAAAGAAGUAGGUAGCUUAACCUUCGGGAGGGCGCUUACCACUUUGUGAUUCAUGACUGGGGUGAAGUCGUAACAAGGUAACCGUAGGGGAACCUGCGGUUGGAUCACCUCCUUACCUUAAAGAA
Molecule: ribosomal RNA, 1554 nt
Filed under: Salmonella enterica subsp. enterica serovar Schwarzengrund
Lineage: Bacteria; Pseudomonadati; Pseudomonadota; Gammaproteobacteria; Enterobacterales; Enterobacteriaceae
Description: bacterial SSU rRNA
Rfam family: Bacterial small subunit ribosomal RNA
Source: RNAcentral